CAACUCCGCUUGAUCCUGGCGGACCCAACUGCUAUCGGGAUGAGACUAAGCCAUGCAAGUCUGCGUCUCCUAGCCACGGUGGAGACGCGGCGCACGGCUCAGUAACAUGUGGCCAACUUACCCUUAGGACGGGGACAACCCCGGGAAACUGGGGCUAAUCCCCGAUAGGUAGAGAGGCCUGGAAUGGUUCUCUACUCAAAGGGAGAUGAACCCAUGCGUUCACCUCCGCCUAAGGAUAGGGCCGCAUCCGAUCAGGUUGUUGGUGAGGUAACGGCUCACCAAGCCUAAGACCGGUACGGGCCGUGAGAGCGGGAGCCCGGAGAUGGGCACUGAGAUAAGGGCCCAGGCCCUACGGGGCGCAGCAGGCGCGAAAACUCCGCAAUGCGCGUAAGCGUGACGGGGUCAUCCCGAGUGCCGUCCGCUGAGGAUGGCUUUUCUCCGGUCUAACCAGCCGGAGGAAUAAGGGGAGGGCAAGUCUGGUGUCAGCCGCCGCGGUAAUACCAGCUCCCCGAGUGGUUGGGACGAUUAUUGGGUCUAAAGCGUCCGUAGCCGGCUGAGGAAGUUCUCCGUUAAAUCCAACGAUUCAAUCGUUGGGCUGCGGGGAAUACUCCUCAGCUUGGGGGCGGGGGAUGUCGGCGGUAUUUCCGGGGUAGGGGCGAAAUCCUAUAAUCCCGGAAGGACCACCAGUGGCGAAGGCGGCCGACAAAAACGCGCCCGACGGUGAGGGACGAAAGCUGGGGGAGCGAUCGGGAUUAGAUACCCCGGUAGUCCCAGCCGUAAACGAUGCAGGCUAGGUGUUGGAGCGGCUACGGGCCGCUCCAGUGCCGCAGGGAAGCCGUUAAGCCUGCCACCUGGGGAGUACGGCCGCAAGGCUGAAACUUAAAGGAAUUGGCGGGGGAGCACCACAAGGGGUGAAGCCUGCGGUUUAAUUGGAGUCAACCCCGGGAACCUUACCAGGAGCGACAGCGGGAUGAAGGUCAGAUUAAAGGUCUUACCGGACUAGCUGAGAGGAGGUGCAUGGCCGUCGCCAGUUCGUGCCGUGAGGUGUUCUCUUAAGUGAGACAACGAACGAGACCCGCGCCCCCAGUUGCCAGCAGAUUCCACCGGAGUCUGGGCACACUGGGGGGACCGCCUCCGCUAAGGGGGAGGAAGGAGCGGGCCACGGCAGGUCAGUAUGCCCCGAAUCUCCUGGGCCACACGCGGGCUGCAAUGGCUGGGACAAUGGGUUCCCACCCUGAAAAGGGGAGGUAAUCCCUAAACCCAGCCUCAGUAGGGAUCGAGGGCUGCAACUCGCCCUCGUGAACAUGGAAUCCCUAGUAACCGCGUGUCACCAUCGCGCGGUGAAUACGUCCCUGCUCCUUGCACACACCGCCCGUCGCUCCACCCGAGU
This 1390-nucleotide ribosomal RNA is filed under the name Candidatus Bathyarchaeota archaeon. RNAcentral's name for it is "bacterial SSU rRNA". It matches the Rfam family "Archaeal small subunit ribosomal RNA". The record is from RNAcentral. Lineage: Archaea; Thermoproteati; Candidatus Bathyarchaeota.